ACUCCGUUGCGAAAAUGACGGGGUCGAUCCCGGCCCGGGCGGCCUUUUCUAGGGUAAGCCUGUCAUUGUGCAAUGAUACGGUUAUGAUCACCGCACGUGAGUGCAAACAUCCUGCGCGAUCGAGGCUUACAGCCGGCCUUUUUAUUUAUUUUAUUUUACUUUUACACACACACACGAUCUCACCUUAUGUUCAGAUCUAAUCUCCGGAGUACUUCGCCCAGUAGAUGC
Molecule: long non-coding RNA, 228 nt
Filed under: Elaeis guineensis (African oil palm)
Lineage: Eukaryota; Viridiplantae; Streptophyta; Magnoliopsida; Arecales; Arecaceae
Description: long non-coding RNA (EGUI_LNC013566)
Source: RNAcentral